AUGCAAGGCGCCGUCUUAGCCUUGCCUUCCAAGGAUCGCUCCCACACCUGUCAUGUUCGUGAUCGGCCUCCUCAACUGUGUAUCGAUCGAAAGGCAGGGCGGCAGAGCCCCCAACCGGGAGUAGUUACGUCCAGUAUGUCCCCCCUCGAUUCCCGACAUGCUAUGAUACCAGGGUGGGUAGGAGCGGGUCGAGUCCGUAUCACCGCGGAACAACUGCAGCGUCCGGAUCUGAUCUAUCUACUCGGCAAUUCAUCCGGUGACUUCACGGUCGCCAAAGAAGCCCCAAGAAGCAUCAAACAUUUCCGAUGA
This 309-nucleotide ribosomal RNA is filed under the name Triticum aestivum (bread wheat). Its description in RNAcentral is "partial small subunit ribosomal RNA". Lineage: Eukaryota; Viridiplantae; Streptophyta; Magnoliopsida; Poales; Poaceae. The record is from RNAcentral.